This 548-nucleotide ribosomal RNA is filed under the name uncultured Glomeromycotina. RNAcentral's name for it is "SSU rRNA". It matches the Rfam family "Eukaryotic small subunit ribosomal RNA", at positions 548 to 1097 of the family's 1831-position model. Lineage: Eukaryota; Fungi; Glomeromycota. The record is from RNAcentral.
UUGGAGGGCAAGUCUGGUGCCAGCAGCCGCGGUAAUUCCAGCUCCAAUAGCGUAUAUUAAAGUUGUUGCAGUUAAAAAGCUCGUAGUUGAAUUUCGGGGUCAGUAGGCUGGUCGUGCCACAGGUAUGUACUGGUCUCACUGAUUCCUCCUUCCUGAUGAACCGUAAUGCCAUUAAUUUGGUGUUGCGGGGAAUCUGGACUGUUACUUUGAAAAAAUUAGAGUGUUUAAAGCAGGCUAACGCUUGAAUACAUUAGCAUGGAAUAAUGAAAUAGGACGAUCGAUCCUAUUUUGUUGGUUUCUAGGAUUGACGUAAUGAUUAAUAGGGAUAGUUGGGGGCAUUAGUAUUCAAUUGUCAGAGGUGAAAUUCUUGGAUUUAUUGAAGACUAACUACUGCGAAAGCAUUUGCCAAGGAUGUUUUCAUUAAUCAAGAACGAAAGUUAGGGGAUCGAAGACGAUCAGAUACCGUCGUAGUCUUAACCAUAAACUAUGCCGACUAGGGAUCGGAUGGUGUUAAUUUUUUAAUGACUCAUUCGGCGCCUUACGGGAAA